GACGAACGCUGGCGGCGUGCUUAACACAUGCAAGUCGAACGGAAAGGCCCUGCUUUUGUGGGGUGCUCGAGUGGCGAACGGGUGAGUAACACGUGAGUAACCUGCCCUUGACUUUGGGAUAACUUCAGGAAACUGGGGCUAAUACCGGAUAGGAGCUCCUGCUGCAUGGUGGGGGUUGGAAAGUUUCGGCGGUUGGGGAUGGACUCGCGGCUUAUCAGCUUGUUGGUGGGGUAGUGGCUUACCAAGGCUUUGACGGGUAGCCGGCCUGAGAGGGUGACCGGCCACAUUGGGACUGAGAUACGGCCCAGACUCCGACGGGAGGCAGCAGUGGGGAAUAUUGCACAAUGGGCGGAAGCCUGAUGCAGCAACGCCGCGUGCGGGAUGACGGCCUUCGGGUUGUAAACCGCUUUCGCCUGUGACGAAGCGUGAGUGACGGUAAUGGGGAAAGAAGCACCGGCUAACUACGGGC
This 469-nucleotide ribosomal RNA is filed under the name uncultured bacterium. RNAcentral's name for it is "partial 16S ribosomal RNA". It matches the Rfam family "Bacterial small subunit ribosomal RNA", at positions 28 to 508 of the family's 1533-position model. The record is from RNAcentral.